Molecule: ribosomal RNA, 425 nt
Filed under: uncultured bacterium
Lineage: Bacteria
Description: bacterial SSU rRNA
Rfam family: Bacterial small subunit ribosomal RNA
Source: RNAcentral
GUGGGGAAUCUUGCGCAAUGGGCGAAAGCCUGACGCAGCCAUGCCGCGUGAAUGAUGAAGGUCUUAGGAUUGUAAAAUUCUUUCACCGGGGACGAUAAUGGCGGUACCCGGAGAAGAAGCUCCGGCUAACUUCGUGCCAGCAGCCGCGGUAAUACGAAGGGGGCUAGCGUUGCUCGGAAUUACUGGGCGUAAAGGGCGCGUAGGCGGACAGCUUAGUCAGAGGUGAAAGCCCAGGGCUCAACCUUGGAAUUGCCUUUGAUACUGGCUGUCUUGAGUACGGGAGAGGUGAGUGGAACUCCGAGUGUAGAGGUGAAAUUCGUAGAUAUUCGGAAGAACACCAGUGGCGAAGGCGACUCACUGGCCCGUUACUGACGCUGAGGCGCGAAAGCGUGGGGAGCAAACAGGAUUAGAAACCCUAGUAGUCC